This 873-nucleotide ribosomal RNA is filed under the name uncultured bacterium. Its description in RNAcentral is "bacterial SSU rRNA". It matches the Rfam family "Bacterial small subunit ribosomal RNA", at positions 8 to 846 of the family's 1533-position model. The record is from RNAcentral.
AGAGUUUGAUCCUGGCUCAGGAUGAACGCUGGCGGCGUGCCUAAUACAUGCAAGUCGAACGAAACUUCUUUAUCACCGAGUGCUUGCGCUCACCGAUAAAGAGUUGAGUGGCGAACGGGUGAGUAACACGUGGGCAACCUGCCCAAAAGAGGGGGAUAACACUUGGAAACAGGUGCUAAUACCGCAUAACCAUAGUUACCGCAUGGUAACUAUGUAAAAGGUGGCUAUGCUACCGCUUUUGGAUGGGCCCGCGGCGCAUUAGCUAGUUGGUGGGGUAAAGGCUUACCAAGGCAAUGAUGCGUAGCCGAACUGAGAGGUUGAUCGGCCACAUUGGGACUGAGACACGGCCCAAACUCCUACGGGAGGCAGCAGUAGGGAAUCUUCCACAAUGGGCGAAAGCCUGAUGGAGCAACGCCGCGUGGGUGAAGAAGGUCUUCGGAUCGUAAAACCCUGUUGUUAGAGAAGAAAGUGCGUGAGAGUAACUGUUCACGUUUCGACGGUAUCUAACCAGAAAGCCACGGCUAACUACGUGCCAGCAGCCGCGGUAAUACGUAGGUGGCAAGCGUUAUCCGGAUUUAUUGGGCGUAAAGGGAACGCAGGCGGUCUUUUAAGUCUGAUGUGAAAGCCUUCGGCUUAACCGGAGUAGUGCAUUGGAAACUGGGAGACUUGAGUGCAGAAGAGGAGAGUGGAACUCCAUGUGUAGCGGUGAAAUGCGUAGAUAUAUGGAAGAACACCAGUGGCGAAAGCGGCUCUCUGGUCUGUAACUGACGCUGAGGUUCGAAAGCGUGGGUAGCAAACAGGAUUAGAUACCCUGGUAGUCCACGCCGUAAACGAUGAAUGCUAAGUGUUGGAGGGGUUCCCGCCCUUCAGUGC